Molecule: ribosomal RNA, 296 nt
Filed under: Empididae sp. BOLD:ACG8890
Lineage: Eukaryota; Metazoa; Arthropoda; Insecta; Diptera; Empididae
Description: partial 18S small subunit ribosomal RNA
Rfam family: Eukaryotic small subunit ribosomal RNA
Source: RNAcentral
AAAACGACGGCCAGUUGGUGCAUGGCCGUUCUUAGUUCGUGGAGUGAUUUGUCUGGUUAAUUCCGAUAACGAACGAGACUCAAAUAUAUUAAAUAGAUGCAUUCAGGAUUAUGAUGUUGAAACUUUGCAUAACCUUCAUUCAUGAGUAUAGUAAAAUAUAUAAGUGGAUGAAUGCGUUUAUGUAAGUGGAGUCGUACCUGUUUGUUUGUCCCAUUAUAACGGACACUAGCUUCUUAAAUGGACAAAUUGCGUCUAGCAAUAAUGAGAUUGAGCAAUAACAGGUCUGUGAUGCCCUU